ACAUGAUUCCAUGUAUAAACCAUUGUGCAUUGUCACCCCCUCUAGAUUGAAAUCGGAAACGAGAGAAACGUUUUAACGGUCACUAUUGUAAUUUGAAGACCCAGUUUCUUUCCAGGAUUCGUCCGCUGAUUUCUAACAUAUCUAGAGUGUAAUUCAAAUUACAUAACUUAUUGAUUAACAAUUGAAACCCCUUUUAAACUUUUGAACUAAUGUUUUCAUACUCCAAUAAAACGGAGAUGAAAUUCUUACGAAACAAAGAACAACUCUUAGCAACGGAUAUCUUGGUUCU
RNAcentral lists this unclassified non-coding RNA (289 nucleotides) under rhizosphere metagenome. RNAcentral describes it as "partial ribosomal RNA internal transcribed spacer region". The record is from RNAcentral.